Molecule: RNA transcript, 2244 nt
Organism: Pyrus x bretschneideri (Chinese white pear)
Lineage: Eukaryota; Viridiplantae; Streptophyta; Magnoliopsida; Rosales; Rosaceae
Exons: 13
Source: RefSeq, a predicted model, not a curated record
UCACCCGCAGAGAGGAGUCACCUGCAGAUUAGAAAGAGAUGAGAGCUGACAGAAUAAAGAGAGAGUGAGGGCCGCCAAUUUUGAUUCGGGGAGAGAUGGCUGUGCUUCGGGUGGUUGGGGGAGGACAGGGGGACUGACAUAUUGGAGAGAGAUGGGUGCUAGGGCUUUCGACUCAGUGAGAGAGAGAUUGAUCUAGGUCCUCUGCCAUAACCUAUGGGGUUUCCUCUGAUUUUAGAGAGAGAAAGAGAAUGAGGGGGAAGGCAUGGUUGUGUGCAGUUUGUGGGGUUAGCCGGUCAGGAAGGGGUGACUGAGGGAGGUAUGGGUGACUUUGAGGGACCGACAGAUUGGAGAGAGAUGGGAGCUAGAGAUUUUUUUAGGUGGUUUAGUUCAUCGGCAGUCUAUUGUUUUCCCUGGUAGAAAGGUCCAGGCUUGCUAUAUCCUCCGACUCACUCCACUCUGUCUCUGUCUUUGUGAUUCUGGGUUCUGUUCUGCCAUUUUUUCUUCUCAAAGAAACCUAAUUGCAGGAAAAUAAUUGCAGAAAUGGAAGGUACUUGCCACCAAGGCUGCAAUAAAAUCUGCACCCACAACUAGAGGAGUCAAGAACCCUAACCAUUACCACCCUGGAACCGUCGCUCCUUGAAGGGUUAGCGUUGGAGUUGGAAAUAAGUAGGACUUUGUAUGGAUUAUUCUCUCCCUUCCCUGCAUUAGAAGGUCAUCAGUGCCAUUUUGCCUCCAAAGUUUCCAAGCUAACUGAAUCACGUCCCUCAGGCCCGUUUCUCCUCCUUGACUCGCUGUGAAGAAGCUCAACUUCUCAGGGUUCGGUUUUUAUUGUUAGAACUUUCGUUUUUUACAUAUGUUUGUGAUUAAUGGUUUUCUUUUGAAAAAAUGCUAAUGGAAAAGUGAAUUUGAGUUAUGAUUUGUGAUUUUUAUUCGUUGCUUACUAAGAUUUUUGUCCAUUUUCUCCACCUCUCUCUCACAACGGAAUCACCAUCACCACCCAACAAACCCAAGAGGGGGAAUUUCGAUUACUAUUCUUGGAGGGAGGUGAACUAUAUGCAUGGUUUUUUGCGAUGAGUUAGGAAGAUCCACCUGAAAACAGCAUAGAAGAUAAAGAACUGGGGUUCUGAGCCAUACAUUUCAAUCAAGCCUUUGGUUCAAAAUUGAUGUUAUUGUGGAAGAUAAGACGAAUCAACACAAUUUCCUCAUAAUAGGAAGACAUGCAGAAAAAAUACUUCAUGUUUCUUGCCACACUUUGGUGAUGCAAGAAGGAUAUGAGGAUCCUUUUGUGGCGCCACCAAUUCUUACAAAUUUGGUGGGCCAAUCAAAGACAUUUCAAGUCUCUUUUGGAAAUCAGAACAUCAACUUCGGAAAGACAGAUUUCAUCGUUCACGGAUUGCUUGAAGAUAAACCACUGUCCAAGCCAGCAAACCCCUCAAUCAAACCACAAACACCCGCUCCCACCGCAGCAAAAACAAUUAUCAACCAAGUCACUCCAGCCCCAUUGACGCCUUCCCAACCAUUGGAUAACAACCCCGAUCAAUUGCAGCCGCUAAGACUUCAAAAACAACGUUGUUCCUUGAUCAACCAAACACAUCUGCCAGGUGGUUCUCAAUUGGAUUCCACAGUAAAACCCAGAAACUUAGAGUAAAAACCUUGAAACUUAAAGGCAUGAGGCACCUCCACGCCUCCCAAUCUGCCGACGUUAGAGCGCUCACCACAUGUUCGUCAUUAAUCCUCAAACAGUCGAACCCACUUCUCUCCGUCUCCGUAUGCGUUUGCACUGUCGCACAAUCUGUAUGUCGUUAGAAACUACUUGAGCAGCUGCGAUCUCAGAUUUUCAGUUUCUAAACAAUGAGAUGAUGCGAGUGUUCAAAGUGCUUUUAUCAUUAAGGAUUGUUUUGUUGCAAAAAGCAAGGCCAAUUUGUUUAGGGCUUGAAGAUUUCUACAUUCACCAGGUUUAUCUUCGACUCCAGGUACUUUGUUCCAUUAACAACUUAAAGUCAGUUGCAACCACAGAGUUUGGUUAUGAUUGGGUAAAAUAAGCUGAUUAUCUGCCUAUUUCAUGAGGAUAUCAAUGGGGACUAUCUACCCAAUCUUUUGUGUGUAAAUAGUAUGUAAAUACACAUCAAAUAUUAUCUUUUGUAUGUAAAUUUGUAAAAGAUGUGAAUAUUAGAACGAUGGCAAUAGAACUGCCAAUUCAUAUUGUUGUAAAUAGAUUUCUGUAUGUAUAUAAAUAGUAUUGCA